UCGAGUGUUAAAACUCCCAAACCAUUGUGAACGUUACCUUUUGUUGCUUCGGCGGGUUCGCCCCGGGCGCCUUCGAGUGCCCCGGAGUCAGGCGCCCGCCGGGGGACUAUAACUCCUGUUUUAUCAAGUGGAAUCUCUGAGUUCAGUUUUAAAAUAAAUCA
Molecule: unclassified non-coding RNA, 161 nt
Filed under: uncultured Bionectriaceae
Lineage: Eukaryota; Fungi; Ascomycota; Sordariomycetes; Hypocreales
Description: sequence contains ITS1
Source: RNAcentral